This 225-nucleotide unclassified non-coding RNA is filed under the name uncultured Melanophyllum. Its description in RNAcentral is "sequence contains ITS1". The record is from RNAcentral. Lineage: Eukaryota; Fungi; Basidiomycota; Agaricomycetes; Agaricales; Agaricaceae.
CAGAAUAAACUUGGUGGGUUGUAGCUGGCUCCUUGGAGCAUGUGCACGCUCAUCACCUUUAUCCAUCCACCUGUGCACAAUCUGUAGUCUUGAGGGAAUUGAAAAAGCAGACUGAUCAUUGAUUGGUUUGUGUUAUCAUUCUCUUUGAGUCUAUGUAUUCUUCAUAUACCACAUAGCAUGUCACAGAAUGUAUUUAAUGGGCCUUGUGCCUAUAAAAACUAUAUA